AUAAAAAGUUGAGGAAACCUAUGUAAAUUAAUCUUUCUGUAUGAAAUGCUAAUUAAAUAUAAAAAUAUAUAUUGAUGCAAUAAUACAACGAAGAGAUCAUUACAUUUGCUUUUUGUCUAUCACGUCAUUUUCAUUGCAUAUCGAUAUGACAAGAAUUAUCGAUUCGCGGUAGACAGUUCGAUAGUGACAUCUUCAGCCAGGAAGUAAAUAUUGAGUACAAAUGCAUCUGUGAUAUUCUGAAAGGAUUAUUGUUCAUUUUAUUUGGUUUAUUUUUAUAGAGUUUUGUUUAAAUUUAAACAAAUAUACUUUAUAUUACAAGCAUCCAAACACAUUGUGUCUACGUAUUGAUGGAUACAUACUGAUGGAUACAAAUGAUGAAGGCAGGCCUUCUACGUUUACGCUUGUGGUACAUGGAAAAGAAGCGUUCUUUCACGCGGAUCAAAGGAGGACUUUAAAGAUCAAGAUUUAUUGCAGAGGAAUGUCUUCUUUACUCGACUUGACCCUCAAAAGUUGAGUAAGAAAUUCAAGUCUUUGUCCUCCCACGUACCAACUAACGUAUAGUACGAUAUAUACGUACGUAUAUAUAUACGUACAUACUACUGUCUCUACUUGAUGGACUAUGCACACGGAUGAAUAACCCACACAGAAAGUGAAGGAAAAGGAUGAUAGUUGCGGUUUACCAAGAAGGACGAGAACCGUCAUUUUGAUCCAUACCAACACUUAUAUGAGAAACUUAUGGUUUACUCGCAAUGCGAUAGUAUCCCCGUUACUUUUCAUCCCGACUUUUUAAUCUUACGAUAAAUUUUGGCAAGACCUUUUUAAAAAUCCACGACUUUAUUAUU
This is a long non-coding RNA of Vespula pensylvanica (western yellowjacket), 842 nucleotides long. RefSeq lists it as uncharacterized. The record is from RefSeq and is a predicted model, not a curated record. The transcript has 3 exons. Lineage: Eukaryota; Metazoa; Arthropoda; Insecta; Hymenoptera; Vespidae.